Molecule: unclassified non-coding RNA, 23 nt
Filed under: Mus musculus (house mouse)
Lineage: Eukaryota; Metazoa; Chordata; Mammalia; Rodentia; Muridae
Description: oocyte_clustered_small_RNA8144
Source: RNAcentral
AAGCAGGGCAUUGAGGCUGAAGA